Molecule: regulatory RNA element, 118 nt
Organism: Clostridium sp. CAG:43
Lineage: Bacteria; Bacillati; Bacillota; Clostridia; Eubacteriales; Clostridiaceae
Rfam family: FMN riboswitch aptamer (RFN element)
About the family: The RFN element is a highly conserved domain that is found frequently in the 5'-untranslated regions of prokaryotic mRNAs that encode for flavin mononucleotide (FMN) biosynthesis and transport proteins. This element is a metabolite-dependent riboswitch that directly binds FMN in the absence of proteins.
Source: Rfam
UGAUUUCUUCGGGGCAGGGCGAAAUUCCCUACCGGCGGUAUAGUCCGCGAACCGCGAUGGCGGCCGAUUCGGUGAGAUUCCGAAACCGACAGUAUAGUCUGGAUGAGAGAAGAGGCAG